GCUAGAGUAGGUGAGAGGGAAGUAGAAUUCCAGGUGUAGCGGUGAAAUGCGUAGAGAUCUGGAGGAAUACCGAUGGCGAAGGCAGCUUCCUGGCAUCAUACUGACACUGAGGCUCGAAAGCGUGGGUAGCAAACAGGAUUAGAUACCCUGGUAGUCCACGCCGUAAACGAUGUCUACUAGUCGUUGGGUCCCUUGAGGACUUAGUGACGCAGCUAACGCAAUAAGUAGACCGCCUGGGGAGUACGGCCGCAAGGUUAAAACUCAAAUGAAUUGACGGGGGCCCGCACAAGCGGUGGAGCAUGUGGUUUAAUUCGAUGCAACGCGAAGAACCUUACCUGGUCUUGACAUACACAGAAUCUUGUAGAGAUACGAGAGUGCCUUCGGGAAUUGUGAUACAGGUGCUGCAUGGCUGUCGUCAGCUCGUGUCGUGAGAUGUUGGGUUAAGUCCCGCAACGAGCGCAACCCUUGUCCUUAGUUACCAGCGGGUUAAGCCGGGAACUCUAAGGAUACUGCCAGUGACAAACUGGAGGAAGGCGGGGACGACGUCAAGUCAUCAUGGCCCUUACGACCAGGGCUACACACGUGCUACAAUGGUAGGUACAGAGGGCAGCUACACAGCGAUGUGAUGCGAAUCUCAAAAAGCCUAUCGUAGUCCAGAUUGGAGUCUGCAACUCGACUCCAUGAAGUAGGAAUCGCUAGUAAUCGCGGAUCAGAAUGCCGCGGUGAAUACGUUCCCGGGCCUUGUACACACCGCCCGUCACACCAUGGGAGUUGAUUGCACCAGAAGUGGUUAGCCGA
This 798-nucleotide ribosomal RNA is filed under the name Psychrobacter celer. Its description in RNAcentral is "bacterial SSU rRNA". It matches the Rfam family "Bacterial small subunit ribosomal RNA", at positions 640 to 1437 of the family's 1533-position model. The record is from RNAcentral. Lineage: Bacteria; Pseudomonadati; Pseudomonadota; Gammaproteobacteria; Moraxellales; Moraxellaceae.